Molecule: non-coding RNA, 1780 nt
Organism: Xyrichtys novacula (pearly razorfish)
Lineage: Eukaryota; Metazoa; Chordata; Actinopteri; Labriformes; Labridae
Source: the annotation of a GenBank genome assembly
UCAGGUUUUUACAAAAAAGACUGACAUUUAUGGGGUUAAAAUACAAAACCUGAAUAAAGUUUUGCUAUUUAUGAUUAGGUUAUAAGUCAAUGAUGGCAGCCAAAAAAAAAAAAAAUUAAAUAUAUUUAUUUAGACAAUAUUUCUACUGCAGCAAAAUGGAGGGGACUGUUUCGGUCCUUAGGGGUGUUAAUAGAAGUUUUUGUUAUUAUUCAACAGUACAGAAAAAAUACAAAUCCUUUCAAAUCAAUUUUCUCAUCAAUGUUUACCAAUCCCAUGCUCUAAUAAUCAAAAGUUUAAAAAAACAAUUUGCAUUUAUAGGAUGGAAAAUAAUUCACUAAUUGUGUUUUUUGACUUAUAAUAAUAUCAGGUUUUUACAAAAAAGACUGGCAUUUAUGGGGUUAAAAUACAAAACCUGAAUAAAGUUUUGCUAUUUAUGAUUAGGUUAUAAGUCAAUGAUGGCAGCCAAAAAAAAAAAAAUUUAAAUAUAUUUAUUUAGACCAUAUUUCUACUGCAGCAAAAUGGAGGGGACCGUUUCGGUCCUUAGGGGUGUUAAUUGAAGUUUUUAUUAUUAUUCAACACUACAGAAAAAAUACAAAUCCUUUCAAAUCAAUUUUCUCAUCAAUGUUUACCAAUCCCAUGCUCUAAUAAUCAAAAGUUUAAAAAAACAAUUUGCAUUUAUAGGAUGGAAAAUAAUUCACUAAUUGUGUUUUUUGACUUAAAAUAAUAUCAGGUUUUUACAAAAAAGACUGUCAUUUAUUGGGUUAAAAUACAAAACCUGAAUAAAGUUUUGAUAUUUAUGAUUAGGUUAUAAGUCAAUGAUGGCAGCCAAAAAAAAAAAAAUUAAAUAUAUUUAUUUAGACCAUAUUUCUACUGCAGCAAAAUGGAGGGGACCGUUUCGGUCCUUAGGGGUGUUAAUUGAAGUUUUUCUUAGGGGUGCACAAGGGUUAAGACUAACAUAAGGGCUAUGUAAUUUGAUUUCUGCUUAUGUAUACCAGGGGAUGAUAGAAUAAAGAGACCGCUACUUCUUAAAUCCUGUCAGCAUUUAAGGCAUAUGUUUAACAUGGAAAAAUGUUAUGCAGGCCAUGCUGCAAAACCAAAACAUUGCACAAUUGUUUAAACAGCUUGUAACACCUGUUACUUACCACUUUAUUGUAUUAUUUUCUCUUAUUAAAAAGUAACACCCGUUACCAAACUUGUCUUAUUUCACUUUUAUUUGUCAUCCGGCCACUAAAUAUACGUACGUGACUUUGACGUGUACACAGUAAUCCAAUAAGAGCUGCAAAUGUUGACUUUUUUCGGUUAAUUUUAAUAUUUACCUCUUAAAUGCGCGCUCACUGCAGUCUGUCCCGUUGAAGAGCAUGGACAGUGCAGGCUGCGCUUGGAACUAUGGAGGGGUACAUGAACCACGUGACCGCUCCGGCAGCGAGAUCUGAAGUUGUCCCCACUCUGUUUAAUCCACUGCUCUGGUCGCACCCAGUCGCCUUCCCAAUCACACACAUCCAAAUUUGAGCACAUACACACCCACAGAGGAAGAAAAAAAAGAAAGAAAGUAACAAUAAUAAUAAAAUAAAACAAGUCCAAUAUAAGUCCAUGGGAGAUGUAGAAAAAAAAAGUAACAAUAACAUAAAAUAAAACAAGUCCAAUAUAAGUCCAUGGGAGAUGUAGAUGAGGAAUAUGAGUGUAACAGAAGGUCAGGCAUCAGCCUUAGCCAAAAAGGUAGUAAUAUACCUACAUAGUAUGUAGCAGGGCUGUUCCAUAUAGGCAUACACCUACUCACCAC